AAAUCAUCAGAAAAUGUUCAUACUGUAAAAUAUAUUGCAUUGUAGAUAUAUACCUAUGCCCUGUGGGACUUUAAAGACCUGAUCUGCCAAGAAUAUUGUUAAACUAGGGCAUUAUUGAACAAAUUAUUGUGCUAUUUAAUUUUGUUGAGUCUUUAAUGUAGCAACUUGUGUUACACCUACAUGUUUCAUUCCAUGAAAACAGAAUUGGUGCCUGCUAUAAUUUUAUCUACAAAGACCAUAUCUAGGUUCUCGUGUUUGCAAUAUUAGCUCAGUGGAAUAUUCUGUGCAGAAGUAAACAGCAAUGUUAAUGAUGGUUUGAG
Molecule: non-coding RNA, 320 nt
Organism: Pelobates cultripes (western spadefoot toad)
Lineage: Eukaryota; Metazoa; Chordata; Amphibia; Anura; Pelobatidae
Source: the annotation of a GenBank genome assembly